This is a long non-coding RNA of Humulus lupulus (European hop), 325 nucleotides long. RefSeq lists it as uncharacterized. NCBI's taxonomy places the organism in Eukaryota, Viridiplantae, Streptophyta, Magnoliopsida, Rosales, Cannabaceae. The transcript has 3 exons. The record is from RefSeq and is a predicted model, not a curated record.
UGAAGUCUUUUUCCUCUAUAGGUUUUGAUAAUAUGGAACAAUAACAUGUUUGGUUACUCUUUUUGUGUUUACUUAACACUAGUGGCAUGCAUCUUCUCAGGCUGCAGUGCUAGCGAUGGAUGAAUCAGUAUUAGAUGUUGAUCAGGUGGAAAAUCUAAUAAAAUUUUGUCCUACUAAAGAAGAGAUGGAACUUCUCAAGGGUUACACAGGUGACAAGGAGAGCCUGGGAAAGUGUGAACAGUAUUUUAUGGAGUUGAUGAAAGUUCCUAGAGUGGAAUCAAAAUUGCGAGUGUUCUCUUUCAAGAUUCAGUUCAACUGUCAGGUU